GCCGGGCAAGAGGACGCCGCGAGGGCCGGCGGCUUAGGGCGGCCGGCACAAUGGAGGGACGAGGCCCGGCCGCCCGGGUCCCGCGCCCGCACUCCCAGCAAAGUUUCCGUUCCGCGAAGCCCGCACCCCCACCCCGCCCGGGACCCGGGUCCCCGCGCCCUCCACCCGGAACUCUCCACUCGGGACCCCAGAGCCACCCCGGCGUCGCAGCCCGCACAACAAAGAGACACACCGGGCGGCGCGGAAUUUCUGCAAGAAAGUCUAGGGAGUUGGAGAGGAGGUGAGAUCCGUGAUCGCGAAAGCCCUGGCUGCCUCCGUCCCCGUCUUCCGCCGCGCUCUCUCUGAUUAGUUCCUAUUCAGCAGCAGAUUGAAGCAGGAGAUGAUUCUUCUCAAGGUUUGUUCAGCAGCUUCACUUCUAGGCGAAGGCUUCAUGAACCAAGUGACGUCAACCAACAAGGCUUCUCUCUCUCUCCUCUCUCUAACAAUGAAAGUUGCUGUUAACAAGGGGAAAAAGAGCGAGAGAAUUGUUUAUACCAUUUCUGUUCCAAUAAUAAAUGACCUAUCAGCUCUAAAAGGAGCCAAGGGAGGGGGCUGCUUCUUCAUUCCAGGAAUACUGUAUCUUUGAGUUUGCACCGCUCCUCGUCCCAGGAAAAAGUUAAGAAACUUAAAUGUUUUGUUUUGCUUUUCAGAGGGGGGCAAAAAAGAACUGAAUAGUUAUUUCUUAAAAAAACAAAAA
This is a long non-coding RNA of Acomys russatus (golden spiny mouse), 736 nucleotides long. RefSeq lists it as uncharacterized. The record is from RefSeq and is a predicted model, not a curated record. The transcript is spliced from 2 exons. Lineage: Eukaryota; Metazoa; Chordata; Mammalia; Rodentia; Muridae.